AACGAACGCUGGCGGCAUGCCUAACACAUGCAAGUCGAACGCGUGUAGCAAUACACGAGUGGCGGACGGGUGAGUAACGCGUGGGAACCUGCCCAAUGGUAGGGAAUAACUGCGGGAAACUGCAGCUAAUACCCUAUGCUCCCUACGGGGGAAAGAUUUAUCGCCAUUGGAGGGGCCCGCGUCGGAUUAGCUAGUUGGCGGGGUAACGGCCCACCAAGGCUACGAUCCGUAGCUGGUCGAGAGGAUGAUCAGCCACACUGGGACUGAGAUACGGCCCAGACUCCUACGGGAGGCAGCAGUGGGGAAUAUUGGACAAUGGGGGAAACCCUGAUCCAGCAAUGCCGCGUGAGUGAAGAAGGCCUUAGGGUUGUAAAGCUCUUUCGGCGGGGACGAUGGUGACGGUACCCGCAGAAGAAGCCCCGGCUAACUCCGUGCCAGCCGCCGCGGUAAC
This 451-nucleotide ribosomal RNA is filed under the name uncultured bacterium. RNAcentral describes it as "bacterial SSU rRNA". It matches the Rfam family "Bacterial small subunit ribosomal RNA", at positions 29 to 524 of the family's 1533-position model. The record is from RNAcentral.